GAGUUUGAUCAUGGCUCAGAUUGAACGCUGGCGGCAGGCCUAACACAUGCAAGUCGAACGGUAACAGGAAACAGCUUGCUGUUUCGCUGACGAGUGGCGGACGGGUGAGUAAUGUCUGGGAAACUGCCUGAUGGAGGGGGAUAACUACUGGAAACGGUAGCUAAUACCGCAUAACGUCGCAAGACCAAAGAGGGGGACCUUCGGGCCUCUUGCCAUCGGAUGUGCCCAGAUGGGAUUAGCUUGUUGGUGGGGUAACGGCUCACCAAGGCGACGAUCCCUAGCUGGUCUGAGAGGAUGACCAGCCACACUGGAACUGAGACACGGUCCAGACUCCUACGGGAGGCAGCAGUGGGGAAUAUUGCACAAUGGGCGCAAGCCUGAUGCAGCCAUGCCGCGUGUAUGAAGAAGGCCUUCGGGUUGUAAAGUACUUUCAGCGGGGAGGAAGGGAGUAAAGUUAAUACCUUUACUCAUUGACGUUACCCGCAGAAGAAGCACCGGCUAACUCCGUGCCAGCAGCCGCGGUAAUACGGAGGGUGCAAGCGUUAAUCGGAAUUACUGGGCGUAAAGCGCACGCAGGCGGUUUGUUAAGUCAGAUGUGAAAUCCCCGGGCUCAACCUGGGAACUGCAUCUGAUACUGGCAAGCUUGAGUCUCGUAGAGGGGGGUAGAAUUCCAGGUGUAGCGGUGAAAUGCGUAGAGAUCUGGAGGAAUACCGGUGGCGAAGGCGGCCCCCUGGACGAAGACUGACGCUCAGGUGCGAAAGCGUGGGGAGCAAACAGGAUUAGAUACCCUGGUAGUCCACGCCGUAAACGAUGUCGACUUGGAGGUUGUGCCCUUGAGGCGUGGCUUCCGGAGCUAACGCGUUAAGUCGACCGCCUGGGGAGUACGGCCGCAAGGUUAAAACUCAAAUGAAUUGACGGGGGCCCGCACAAGCGGUGGAGCAUGUGGUUUAAUUCGAUGCAACGCGAAGAACCUUACCUGGUCUUGACAUCCACGGAAGUUUUCAGAGAUGAGAAUGUGCCUUCGGGAACCGUGAGACAGGUGCUGCAUGGCUGUCGUCAGCUCGUGUUGUGAAAUGUUGGGUUAAGUCCCGCAACGAGCGCAACCCUUAUCCUUUGUUGCCAGCGGUCCGGCCGGGAACUCAAAGGAGACUGCCAGUGAUAAACUGGAGGAAGGUGGGGAUGACGUCAAGUCAUCAUGGCCCUUACGACCAGGGCUACACACGUGCUACAAUGGCGCAUACAAAGAGAAGCGACCUCGCGAGAGCAAGCGGACCUCAUAAAGUGCGUCGUAGUCCGGAUUGGAGUCUGCAACUCGACUCCAUGAAGUCGGAAUCGCUAGUAAUCGUGGAUCAGAAUGCCACGGUGAAUACGUUCCCGGGCCUUGUACACACCGCCCGUCACACCAUGGGAGUGGGUUGCAAAAGAAGUAGGUAGCUUAACCUUCGGGAGGGCGCUUACCACUUUGUGAUUCAUGACUGGGGUGAAGUCGUAACAAGGUAACCGUAGGGGAACCUGCGGUUGGAUCACC
This 1528-nucleotide ribosomal RNA is filed under the name Escherichia coli DEC10F. RNAcentral describes it as "bacterial SSU rRNA". It matches the Rfam family "Bacterial small subunit ribosomal RNA". Lineage: Bacteria; Pseudomonadati; Pseudomonadota; Gammaproteobacteria; Enterobacterales; Enterobacteriaceae. The record is from RNAcentral.